Molecule: ribosomal RNA, 444 nt
Filed under: uncultured bacterium
Lineage: Bacteria
Description: partial 16S ribosomal RNA
Rfam family: Bacterial small subunit ribosomal RNA
Source: RNAcentral
GUAGGGAAUAUUGGGCAAUGGUCGGAAGACUGACCCAGCCAUGCCGCGUGCAGGAAGACGGCCCUCUGGGUUGUAAACUGCUUUUAUCUGGGAAGAAAAAGGCCAUGCGUGGCAAAUUGCCGGUACCAGAUGAAUAAGCACCGGCUAACUCCGUGCCAGCAGCCGCGGUAAUACGGAGGGUGCGAGCGUUGUCCGGAUUUAUUGGGUUUAAAGGGUGCGUAGGCGGUUGAUUAAGUCAGCGGUGAAAGACUUCGGCUUAACCGGAGCAGUGCCGUUGAUACUGGUUGGCUUGAGUGUCGGAGGGGUACAUGGAAUUGAUGGUGUAGCGGUGAAAUGCAUAGAUACCAUCAGGAACACCGAUAGCGAAGGCAUUGUACUGGCCGACAACUGACGCUGAUGCACGAAAGUGUGGGGAUCGAACAGGAUUAGAAACCCUGGUAGUUC